This is a non-coding RNA of Mycena latifolia, 93 nucleotides long. The record is from the annotation of a GenBank genome assembly. Lineage: Eukaryota; Fungi; Basidiomycota; Agaricomycetes; Agaricales; Mycenaceae.
GGCUUGUUGGCAUAGUGGUAACGUGCUCCGUAGCAAUAUGUAACGUUUGCAUAUUUUAACGGAAGGUCCGAAGUUCGAUUCUUCGUCAAGCCU